GAUGAACGCUGGCGGCGUGCCUAAUACAUGCAAGUCGAGCGAAUGGAUUGAGAGCUUGCUCUUAUGAAGUUAGCGGCGGACGGGUGAGUAACACGUGGGUAACCUGCCCAUAAGACUGGGAUAACUCCGGGAAACCGGGGCUAAUACCGGAUAACAUUUUGAACCGCAUGGUUCGAAAUUGAAAGGCGGCCUCGGCUGUCACUUAUGGAUGGACCCGCGUCGCAUUAGCUAGUUGGUGAGGUAACGGCUCACCAAGGCAGCGAUGCGUAGCCGACCUGGGAGGGUGAUCGGGCACACUGGGACUGGGACACGGCCCAGACUCCUACGGGAGGCAGCAGUAGGGAAUCGUCCGCAAUGGACGAAAGUCUGACGGAGCAACGCCGCGUGAGUGAUGAAGGCUUUCGGGUCGUAAAACUCCGUUGUUAGGGAAGAACAAGUGCUAGUUGAAUAAGCUGGCACCUUGACGGUACCUAACCAGAAAGCCACGGCUAACUACGUGCCAGCCGCCGCGGUAA
This 515-nucleotide ribosomal RNA is filed under the name uncultured bacterium. Its description in RNAcentral is "partial 16S ribosomal RNA". It matches the Rfam family "Bacterial small subunit ribosomal RNA", at positions 28 to 523 of the family's 1533-position model. The record is from RNAcentral.